CCUACGGGAUGCUGCAGUGAGGAAUAUUGGUCAAUGGGCGCGAGCCUGAACCAGCCAAGUAGCGUGAAGGAUGACUGCCCUACGGGUUGUAAACUUCUUUUAUAAAGGAAUAAAGUGAGGCACGUGUGCCUUUUUGUAUGUACUUUAUGACUAAGGAUCGGCUAACUCCGUUCCAGCCGCCGCGUUAAUACGGAGGAUCCGAGCGUUAUCCGGAUUUAUUGUGUUUAAAGGGAGCGUAGAUGGGUUGUUAAGUCAGUUGUGAAAGUUUGCGGCUCAACCGUAAAAUUGCAAUUGAUACUGGCAGCCGUGAGUACAGUUGAGGUAGGCGGAAUGCGUGGUGUAGCGGUGAAAUGCUUAGAUAUCACGCAGAACUCCGAUUGCGAAGGCAGCUUACUAAACUGCCACUGACAUUGAUGCACGAAAGUGUGGGUAUCAAACAGGAUUAGAUACCCCUGUAGUC
RNAcentral lists this ribosomal RNA (460 nucleotides) under uncultured bacterium. RNAcentral's name for it is "partial 16S ribosomal RNA". It matches the Rfam family "Bacterial small subunit ribosomal RNA", at positions 338 to 795 of the family's 1533-position model. The record is from RNAcentral.